CCUACGGGAGGCAGCAGUGAGGAAUAUUGGUCAAUGGGCGGAAGCCUGAACCAGCCAAGCAGCGUGCAGGAUGACGGCCCUACGGGUUGUAAACUGCUUUUAUACGGGAAUAACGCGCCUUACGUGUAGGGCUUUGCAUGUACCGUAUGAAUAAGGACCGGCUAAUUCCGUGCCAGCAGCCGCGGUAAUACGGAAGGUCCGGGCGUUAUCCGGAUUUAUUGGGUUUAAAGGGAGCGUAGGCCGCAUGUCAAGCGUGCUGUGAAAUGUCCGGGCUCAACCCGGGCCUUGCAGUGCAAACUGGCGUGCUAGAGUGCGAGGGAAGCAGGCGGAAUGCGUGGUGUAGCGGUGAAAUGCUUAGAUAUGACGAAUAACCCCGAUUGCGAAGGCAGCUUGCUGGAGCGGAACUGACGCUGAUGCUCGAAAGCGCGGGUAUCGAACAGGAUUAGAUACCCCGGUAGUC
This 460-nucleotide ribosomal RNA is filed under the name uncultured bacterium. RNAcentral's name for it is "partial 16S ribosomal RNA". It matches the Rfam family "Bacterial small subunit ribosomal RNA", at positions 338 to 795 of the family's 1533-position model. The record is from RNAcentral.